GCAUGGAUGAACACUGUGUACUUCAGUCAGUAAUUUAUACAGACAGACACCAUACAAAGUAAUGUCUUCCAGAGCCAGGCGGCGUGCACGCCUUUAAUCCCAGCACUUGGGAGGCAGAG
Molecule: small nucleolar RNA, 119 nt
Filed under: Peromyscus maniculatus bairdii (prairie deer mouse)
Lineage: Eukaryota; Metazoa; Chordata; Mammalia; Rodentia; Cricetidae
Description: Small nucleolar RNA SNORA15 (ENSPEMG00000027123.1)
Rfam family: Small nucleolar RNA SNORA15
About the family: ACA15 is a member of the H/ACA class of snoRNA that guide the sites of modification of uridines to pseudouridines.
Source: Rfam by way of RNAcentral